RNAcentral lists this transfer RNA (74 nucleotides) under archaeon. RNAcentral's name for it is "tRNA-Ile". It matches the Rfam family "tRNA". From Rfam's summary of the family: Transfer RNA (tRNA) molecules are approximately 80 nucleotides in length. The record is from RNAcentral.
GGGCUUGUAGCUCAGGUGGUUAGAGCGCCGGUCUUAUAAACCGGAGGCCCGGAGUUCGAGUCUCCGCAAGCCCA